UACGUAGGGGGCAAGCGUUGUCCGGAAUCAUUGGGCGUAAAGCGCGUGUAGGCGGCUUGGUAAGUCUGAUCUGAAAGUCCAGGGCUCAACCCUGGGAUGCGGUUGGAUACUGCCGAGCUCGAGUCCGGAAGAGGCGAGUGGAAUUCCUGGUGUAGCGGUGAAAUGCGCAGAUAUCAGGAGGAACACCAAUGGCGAAGGCAGCUCGCUGGGACGUGACUGACGCUGAGACGCGAAAGCGUGGGGAGCAAACAGG
This 253-nucleotide ribosomal RNA is filed under the name uncultured bacterium. RNAcentral describes it as "partial 16S ribosomal RNA". It matches the Rfam family "Bacterial small subunit ribosomal RNA", at positions 524 to 776 of the family's 1533-position model. The record is from RNAcentral.